RNAcentral lists this ribosomal RNA (497 nucleotides) under uncultured bacterium. Its description in RNAcentral is "partial 16S ribosomal RNA". It matches the Rfam family "Bacterial small subunit ribosomal RNA", at positions 28 to 507 of the family's 1533-position model. The record is from RNAcentral.
GAUGAACGCUGGCGGCGUGCCUAAUACAUGCAAGUCGAGCGAACGGACGAGAAGCUUGCUUCUCUGAUGUUAGCGGCGGACGGGUGAGUAACACGUGGAUAACCUACCUAUAAGACUGGGAUAACUUCGGGAAACCGGAGCUAAUACCGGAUAAUAUUUUGAACCGCAUGGUUCAAAAGUGAAAGACGGUCUUGCUGUCACUUAUAGAUGGAUCCGCGCUGCAUUAGCUAGUUGGUAAGGUAACGGCUUACCAAGGCAACGAUGCAUAGCCGACCUGAGAGGGUGAUCGGCCACACGGGAACUGAGACACGGCCCAGACUCCUACGGGAGGCAGCAGUAGGGAAUCUUCCGCAAAGGGCGAAAGCCUGACGGAGCAACGCCGCGUGAGUGAUGAAGGUCUUCGGAUCGUAAAACUCUGUUAUUAGGGAAGAACAUAUGUGUAAGUAACUGUGCACAUCUUGACGGUACCUAAUCAGAAAGCCACGGUUAACUACGUG